This is a non-coding RNA of Aciduliprofundum boonei T469, 2942 nucleotides long. The record is from Rfam. NCBI's taxonomy places the organism in Archaea, Methanobacteriati, Thermoplasmatota.
AAGGUAGCACCAUUAAGCCGUCCGGGGAAUGGCUUGGCUCGGGUGCCGAAGAAGGACGUGCCCAGCGGCGAUACGCCACGGGGAGGCGUAUGGAGCCUGAGAUCCGUGGAUCUCCGAAUGGGACCUCCUGGUCGUUAAGGCGGCCACUCCCUCAUGGGAGGGGGAACCCGGGGAAUUGAAACAUCUUAGUACCCGGAGGAGAAGAAACCAAUAGGGAUUCCGUGAGUACCGGCGAGGGAAAACGGAAUAGAGCAAACCGAAUCCUUUUCCGAAAGGAGAAGGAGAUGUGGAGUUGUGGGACCUGAUCCAAUGCCUCCCAGGCGAACCCGAAGUCCUCUGGAAAGAGGCGCCGUAGAGGGUGAAAGCCCCGUAGGGGUAAGUCUGGUGGCUAUGAGGUCGGGUAUCCCGAGUACCGUGCCUUGGAUAUGGCGCGGGAAUCUGGGUGACAUCAGGCAUCCAACUCUAAAUACACCCCGAGUCCGAUAGCGAACUAGUAGGGUGACCGAAAACUGAAAAGUACCGCGGAAGCGGGGUGAAAAGAGCCUGAAACCGGGCGGCGACAACCUGAUGGGGCGAGAAAGGGUAGAAGUUCCGUAGCUGGAAUGGACCGUCGUCCCAUCGUCCGUGUUGAAGAACGGGCCAGGGAGUUCCGUCCGUCGGCGAGGCUAAGCGCGAAGGCGCGUAACCGAAGCGAAAGCAACAUGCCCGCAGCCCCGCAAUGGGGUCAGGGGCGGGGUGCGCUCGCCCGGAGUCGGCGGAGGGAGACCCGAAGCCGGUCGAUCUAGGCCUGGGUAGGUUGAAGCCUCUCGAAAGGGAGGUGGAGGACCGAACCGGUGCUGACGUGCAAAUCGCUCGGUUGACCUGGGUCUAGGGGUGAAAGGCCAAUCUAGGCCGGCAUUAGCGGGUUCCCCCCGAGACUGCCCGCAGGUAGACCUUCCCGGAGGUAGCCGGUGGGGUAGAGUUACUGAUUGGGUGCCCAGGGACCGAAAGGACCCAGCACCCUUUCAAACUCCGAACCUGCCGGCGCCGUAGAAGGGAGGAGCUAGGGUCGUCGGGAUAAGCUUGACGCCCGAGAGGGAAACAACCCAGAGGUGGGUUAAGGUCCCAAAGUGCCGGCUAAGUGUCAUGGAAAGGGCGUCCAUGGCCUAAGACAGCGGGGAGGUUGGCUUAGAAGCAGCCACCCUUUAAAGAGUGCGUAACAGCUCACCCGCCGAGGUCAUGGGCCCCGAAAAUGGACGGGACUAAGCCGGCCACCGAGACCCACCGCCGCCGAGAGGCGAUGCGGUAGGGGGGCGUGCCGCGGGAUGAGAAGCGUCUGCGUGAGCAGGCGUGGAUCGCGCGGCAUCGCGAAUCCUGGCGGGAGUAGGAGCAAAGAGCCGUGAGAAUCGGCUUCGCCGUAGGGGCUAAGGGUUCCUCGGCAACGCUCGUCAGCCGAGGGUUAGGCGGUCCUAAGGUGCACCCCAAGUGGAGUGUACCGAAUGGGAAGCCGGUUAAUAUUCCGGCCCCGUGGGUGUUCCGCCCAGCGGAUGACGCUUCGGGCUAGGCCAAGUACCGUCGCCGCGGUAUCUAAGCGUUGAAACUCCUGGAGUUCCGUAAUGGAGAGAAGGGAGUGAAGACGUGAUGGGCCCUCCUAGGGGGGGUUUGGCUGAUGCCUGGAGCCCGUGAAAAGUCCGUUGGGGUCAAGCCCACGACCGUACCAAGAACUGACACAGGUGCCCCUGGGUGAGAAGCCUAAGGCGUGUGGGACCAAUCGACCCGAGGGAAUUCGGCAAAUUAGCCCUGUACCUUCGGAAGAAGGGGUGCCUACCUCGAGAAGAGGUAGGUCGCAGUGACUAGGGGACUCCGACUGUUUAACAAAAACAUAGGUCGGUGCAAGCCCGAAAGGGUGUGUAUACCGGCUGAAGCCUGCCCAGUGCCGGUACCUGAAACCCGGGUACAACCGGGCGAAGGGCCGGUAAACGGCGGGGGUAACUAUGACCCUCUUAAGGUAGCGUAAUACCUCGCCGCUUAAUUGGCGGCUUGCAUGAAGGCUCAACGAGGGUCCCACUGUCCCCGGGUCGAGUCCCCUGAAACCGAUGUACUGGUGCACAAUCCAGUCUCUCCCACGUGAAAGCGAAGUCCCUGUGGAGCUUUACUGCAGCCUGCCGUUGCGGUAUUGUUGGGGAUGCAGAGGGUAGGCGGGAGCCGUCGAAGCCACCUCUCCGGGGGUGGUGGAGGCGCCGAUGGAACACCGCCCUUCCUCAGCGGUACCGCUAACCCGCGCUGCGGGGACACCGGUAGGUGGGCAGUUUGGGUGGGGCGCCACGCCCUCGAUAAGGAAACAAGGGCCCCCAAAGGUCGGCUCAGGGGGGUCAGAAAUCCCCCGUAGAGUGCAAGGGCAAAAGCCGGCUUGACUCGGAUCCGCACAACAAGGGUCCGAGAUGGGAAACCAGGGCCUAGCGAACCACCCAGUCCUCACCGAUGGGGGCGGGUGAUAAGAGAGAAGUUACCCUAGGGAUAACUGAGUUGUCUCCGGCAAGAGUUCACAUCGACCCGGAGGCUUGCUACUUCGUUGUCGUCUCUCCCUAUCCUGGCGGUGCAGCAGCUGCCAAGGGUGGGGCUGUACGCCCAUUAAAAGGGAUCGUGAGAUGGGUUCACUACGUCGCGAGACAGUAGGGUUGCUUUUCCGUGGGAGUGUUCGGCGUCUGAGGGGAAGGAGCCUCUAGUACGAGAGGAACGGGGCUCCGCGGCCUCUAGUCUACCGGUUGUCUGGCAAGGCAUUGCCGGGCAGCCACGCCGUAGCCGAUAAGUGCUGAAAGCAUCUAAGCACGAAACGGCCCCUGAAACGAGACGCCGUUGAGGGCACCCCUAAAAGAGGGGUUUGAUAGAGCCCGGGUGUAAGCACCGAGCCUUCGGGCGAGGUGUUCAGCCCGUGGGUCACUAACGCCCAAAGCUAUCUUCCA